This is a long non-coding RNA of Bos taurus (domestic cattle), 661 nucleotides long. The record is from Ensembl. NCBI's taxonomy places the organism in Eukaryota, Metazoa, Chordata, Mammalia, Artiodactyla, Bovidae.
AGUGCCGACAGGAUGAGAGGAGUAGGCUGGGAUCAGCUGCUCUGUGCAAACGAUGCGACAGAAAGCUGUAAAUCCCAGCUCGUGUUUUCCAGAAUGCCACUAGGGAAAUUUGGAAAAGAGGGUAGCCCUGAAAUGCUAGCUCCACCUUGCAGUCAUCCAACCAGAAGCACUGCCACAUUCGUCAGUCAGGACCGUCACCUGAGAACAAAAGCCACAGACCUGGCCACUGAAGGCACAUCAUACCAAACCCACUGGCAUGCACAAACAACAAGGAGAGAGCUGAAGAAUCAGGUCAGAGCACUGACAGUAUCUGCUCCACCCACUCAACAGCACAGUUGACUCAAGCCAGCUGCAGAGCCUUGAAAGUCAUCUCCAGCAAGAGUCAGACCCUCAUCCAUCUGGAGAUUAGAUGGAUUUGGAAAGAGAGCAGUCUUGAUCUCCAGGAAAUCCCAGCUCACAAUAACACAUACUAACUAGUCCCUCAGAAGACUUGAGCCUCAUUGUCUACUCUGCCUUGGAGGAGCCUGCACCGCACACCUUCACACAUCCUGUGGCCCUGUUCCUCUCUAUCAACCAGCACCGACCUCUCCAGCACCACCAAGAGAAUAUGACAUGACAAACACACCCACCUGGAGGUGCAAAGCACAUAACAGCAUAAACA